GAUUUUUGAAAAUGUGUAAAAAUGUAUGAGAGAUACAUUUGUAUCAAUGGUUGAGAUCUUUCCUGAUCAACAUCUAACGGUUGUCUCUCAAACACUCCUCUCAUUUCUACCCAAGUGUAUCAAACACUCCUCUUCUUCUGUGUCUCACAGGUCUGCCUCCCACCUAACCCUUCUCCCUCUCUUCUUCUUGAUUUCAAAUGGGAGUCGAGUGUUCUGUAAAUCCUUCUUGGUACCUUCACUCGCUUCGACUGAACUCAUUCGAUUCAAGUUUUUCAGAGCUCGAACUUCCUCAUCCAACCCUUCUAGGGUUUUUCGAAUGGCCACCGAGCCUCCUUCUUCAUCCUCAUCAUCACCACCACACUCCGCUUCAGCUUCCUCUAAUGGCGAUUCAUCCUCGGUCCCCGCUUCUUCUGCCAUCGAUUUUCUCUCUCUCUGUCACCGUCUCAAGACGACGAAGAGAACGGGAUGGGUGCGAAGGGAUGUUGAGAAUCCAGAGUCCAUAGCCGAUCAUAUGUAUCGAAUGGGGUUGAUGGCUCUCAAAUAGGAUAUUUUGUGCCAUGGGAAGCAAAUUUAUGAAUGCUGACCAAUCAACAUUUAUGAUUGAUCUACAUCAAGUUGGAAUGAUGCUAAGAUUCUAAUUCUGUCGGAACUGCUCGCUCCC
Non-coding RNA from Camellia sinensis, 661 nucleotides. NCBI's taxonomy places the organism in Eukaryota, Viridiplantae, Streptophyta, Magnoliopsida, Ericales, Theaceae. The record is from RefSeq and is a predicted model, not a curated record.